AGUGCUGCAGCUAACGCAUUAAGCACUCCGCCUGGGGAGUACGGUCGCAAGACUGAAACUCAAAGGAAUUGACGGGGGCCCGCACAAGCGGUGGAGCAUGUGGUUUAAUUCGAAGCAACGCGAAGAACCUUACCAGGUCUUGACAUCCUCUGACAAUCCUAGAGAUAGGACGUCCCCUUCGGGGGCAGAGUGACAGGUGGUGCAUGGUUGUCGUCAGCUCGUGUCGUGAGAUGUUGGGUUAAGUCCCGCAACGAGCGCAACCCUUGAUCUUAGUUGCCAGCAUUCAGUUGGGCACUCUAAGGUGACUGCCGGUGACAAACCGGAGGAAGGUGGGGAUGACGUCAAAUCAUCAUGCCCCUUAUGACCUGGGCUACACACGUGCUACAAUGGACAGAACAAAGGGCAGCGAAACCGCGAGGUUAAGCCAAUCCCACAAAUCUGUUCUCAGUUCGGAUCGCAGUCUGCAACUCGACUGCGUGAAGCUGGAAUCGCUAGUAAUCGCGGAUCAGCAUGCCGCCGUGAAUACGUUCCC
This 532-nucleotide ribosomal RNA is filed under the name Bacillus subtilis. Its description in RNAcentral is "bacterial SSU rRNA". It matches the Rfam family "Bacterial small subunit ribosomal RNA", at positions 842 to 1375 of the family's 1533-position model. The record is from RNAcentral. Lineage: Bacteria; Bacillati; Bacillota; Bacilli; Caryophanales; Bacillaceae.